CAGGGCUCUUUGAGCCUUCCCCAGAUGUGGAACAGAGAAAGUUUGAAGUAGAUGCCAUUUUAAGAGCCAGGACAUGGAUUCUCCCUCUCUGCAAAACGUCCUUGCAAACUCUCGAGGGAAACCAGUGCUUCAUGUUGUUAAAGUUUUACAAGUUAUGGCAUAAAUUGUUCUUCAAGUGCCGAAUGUAGUGACCAAUAAAUCACCGAGAGGAUUCUCUGAGAUUUGCAAUUGUGGAAUUACAGAUUUUGUACCUAGUCUUGGAUGCACUGAGCUGGGUCUACUCUGAGGCAGCAAGCUGCAACCCUGCCCUGUCCAGUCACCUCACUGUCACCUGGAAGAAUCCUGUUCUUUAGUGGAAAUAAGUCACAGACGUCCUCAAAGGCGAACGCUCCAGGUGCACCCCAGAGAGCUGCCCCACUAGCUCUGACUGGCUGAUGCUGUGUUUGGCUCCAAGCACUUCUUGCUAUAAAUCCACCACAGGUGUCCUUACUCUCCAUCACCCAGUCCUUUGUUCCGUCAUUGCCUCAUAUUCAUUUAGCAAGACUUCACUGAGAACUUAGAGACUCGCUGCUUCCCUGUGGGGCUACAACAGUAAACACCACAGACAGGCGCUGGUGGCGAAGACAGCCAAACAGACCAGGAAUUACAAAACACUUCGAAAAGUGCUCUGAUGGGAGAAACACAGAGUGCCGAGGGAACAUGUGGGAGAGAUGUUGGGGAAACUUCUGGAAGGAAGUGGCCAGGUGAGAACUUCAGUCAUUUUGGAUGAGUUCCUCUUCCUAUGCUCCAGCCCCACAUACUAUCUUCCAUGCAUUCUGUUGAUUCUCCGCUGUGACAUCUACCAGGUGAGAGUUCCUUGAAGCUUCACUGCAAUUCCCCAGCCACAGAGUGUCUGAAGACUGCUGCAGGUCCAGUUUGAGUUGCUUUUACUCUCCAGGAACACACAGAUGUGACUAAAAAAAUCUGCAUUCCCCUAAAGUAACAACAUUCAUGCUACUCCAGAGACCCAGACAAAGGGGAAUUAAGCUUGCUUGAACUUGAGCCUGGGGACCAGGAUGCUGAUGGAGGCUUUGCAGAUUCUUGGGUCUCCAUGGAGACGAACAGACUCUGGCAAAAUUUCCUUCUUGGGAGAAAGGCAGUGUUGGCUGCUUUCUUUCCUCUGGCCACCCUGAGAAUGCAAGACUCAUAAAAGUGCUGUGUAUAGAUUCUCUGCAGACACGGGGCCAUUUUGUACCAUUUCUGGCCUCUUCAGAGCCCUUCUGAAGUGCUCUCUGGCAUCCAGCAUCCAGGGUGUCCAGCUGCCUCCACAAACAGCAAGAGCUCAUCAGUAAUGGGUGAC
Molecule: long non-coding RNA, 1339 nt
Organism: Homo sapiens (human)
Lineage: Eukaryota; Metazoa; Chordata; Mammalia; Primates; Hominidae
Product: long intergenic non-protein coding RNA 1191
Source: Ensembl